GGGGGCGUAAUGGUCUCGACGGGGAGUGUAAGCCCUGGUAAGCGAGCGGUGGCAUUGCGGAACCACCUUAAAAUCCGUAAAUCUUUAAAAUUAAACGACAACAAAAAGUUUGUUCCUCUUGCCGCUUAAUUAGGCAAGCGUCCUUUUCCGGAGUACCACGGCCGGUUUUGGGCGUCGAUCAGUGGUGAACGUGAAUAAAGGCCUGACUCGUCCUUUAUCAUGACCCAGAGCCUACCGAAGCAUACAGCCCGUUUGUAGGCGGUAUGACGGGGGAAUCUUAAUAUGCAUUCUGCGCUCGGAGAAAGCCUUGGUAAGUGCUUUUCGGACAGGGGUUCGAUUCCCCUCGCCUCCACCA
RNAcentral lists this transfer-messenger RNA (355 nucleotides) under Acutalibacteraceae. Its description in RNAcentral is "UBA1213 sp902801055 Standard tmRNA". It matches the Rfam family "transfer-messenger RNA". Rfam says of the family: Bacterial tmRNA, also known as 10Sa RNA or SsrA, is named for its dual tRNA and mRNA-like properties. Its role is to liberate the mRNA from a stalled ribosome. The record is from RNAcentral. RNAcentral also lists the same sequence under 1 other name. Lineage: Bacteria; Bacillati; Bacillota; Clostridia; Eubacteriales.